Molecule: unclassified non-coding RNA, 318 nt
Filed under: uncultured fungus
Lineage: Eukaryota; Fungi
Description: sequence contains ITS1
Rfam family: 5.8S ribosomal RNA (bases 1-105)
Source: RNAcentral
GAAAUGCGAUAAGUAAUGUGAAUUGCAGAAUUCAGUGAAUCAUCGAAUCUUUGAACGCACAUUGCGCCCGCCGGUAUUCCGGCGGGCAUGCCUGUUCGAGCGUCAUUUCACCACUCAAGCCCAGCUUGGUGUUGGGGCACCCGAGCCGCCUGGCGGCCCGGGGCCCCCAAGUACAUCGGCGGUCUCGCCUGGACCCUGAGCGCAGUAACUCGCGGUAAAACGCGCUUCGUUCGGAGGAUCCUAGAGGGCUCCAGCCGCUAAACACCCUAAUUUUCUUAGGUUGACCUCGGAUCAGGUAGGAAUACCCGCUGAACUUAA